This 2445-nucleotide long non-coding RNA is filed under the name Sus scrofa (pig). RNAcentral's name for it is "lncRNA (ENSSSCG00030060515.1)". Lineage: Eukaryota; Metazoa; Chordata; Mammalia; Artiodactyla; Suidae. The record is from RNAcentral.
AAGUUCCCAGGCUAGGGGUGGAACUGGAGUUGUAGCUGCUGGCCUACACCACAGCCACAUCAACACUAGAUCCCAGCUGCUUCUGCAGCCUACACCACAGCUCAUGGCAGUGCUGGCUCCAUAACCCACUGAGCGAGGCCUAGGAUCAAACCUACAUCAUCAUGGAUAUUAGACUCUUUCAUUACUGCUGAACCACAAUGGGAACUCUGGUUACACCUCUAAGUUUGAUACAAUUAUUACUCAUUUAUUGAUGCAAAAUUAUUUAUUUAUUUAUUUACUUAUUUAUUUUUGGCUUUUUAGGGCCACACUCUUGGCAUAUGGAAGUUCCCAGGCUAGGGGUAGAAUUGGAGCUGCAACUGCCGGCCUACACCACAGCUAUAGCAACUUGGGAUCCAAGCUGUGUCUGCAACCUGCACCACCUACACUACAGCUCAUGGCACCACUGGAUCCUUCACCCAUUGAGCAAGGCCAGGGAUUGAACCUGCAUCUACAUGGAUACUGGUUGGAUUCAUUUCCACUUCGCCACAAUGGGAACUCCCAAAGAACUGGGGCUAGAACUGUUUUCUUAUACUGAUGGUCUUUUGCUUGAGUUAGAGAGAUAGUAUAAGUGGUUCAGAACCUGAGAACUUGGGAGCCAGACUGUGUGGGGUGGCAUCUGCACCCCAUUUACUAGCUAGGUAGCUUUGGGUAAGUUACUUGACUUCUCUGUGUCUCAUUAAAAUGAUAAUAACAUUUGUACAUUUCUUAGAGCGUUGUCGUGACAGUGAAAUGAAUUUAUGUACAUAAAGGUCCCUAUGAUAGUAUCUGCCACAUAGUAAAUCCUCUGUAAAUGUUAAUUGCUGCUAAUGUUGGUUUUUUUGUUAUUAGUACAUAUUCUAGAUUUCUUCAAGGAAUGCUUUUCUUAUCACUCGUUUUAUUUAUUUAUUUAUUUAUUUUAUUUUUUGGCUGUGGCAUGCAGCAGCUUGAUGUGGGAUCUCAGUUCCCAGACCAGGGAUUGAACCCAGGUUGCAGUGUGAAGCAGUGUAAGCACCAAGUCCUAACCACUAGGCCACCAGGGAACGCCAUUAUUUCUUUUUUUAAAAAAACUUCAUGAGUGUGUGUCUCUGUGUAGACAGUCAUUCAUCGUACUGUUGAACAUUAAUUCUGUGCUAAUUACUGUGCUGGGCUGGGGGAUAAAGAGCUCUUGUGGGGUUUUAAUGGGGAGACAUACUUAAAUUAUUAUAAAGCAUUGUAAUAAGUGCUAAUAGAUACACUGAGGAAGAGUGUGAGCACAAAAGAAAAAGUAACUAAUUCUGUGGUAAGAGGUGAGGAAGAGAGAGAGUGGAGAUUGUCGAAGCCCUCACAGAAGCUGGAGUGACUCAGGCAAGGAGGAGUAAGGGAGAGAAGGCAUUUUCAGAGAUAGGGACCAGGCAAAUGCAAGAGCAUGAAGCAGCCUAGCAUAGCAUAGGGGAAUUUUAUUUCCGCAUGUGGAUAGGGGUAGUUAGAAGAGAUGAGACUGGAAAGGAUUUUGGACUUUGUAUAGAAGACACCAUGGAGAGUUUUAAAUGGUUGUAUUUGUAAUAAGGAAAACCCUCCAAAAAUAUUUUCCCCAGAUAGUCUUCAGAAAAAAUAAAUCUGGUGAGUCUGUCUUCUGUCUAAAAUCUUUUGAUGACUGCUCAGUGCCUGUGGGGAUGGCCAGACUCUGCCUUGGCAUGCAAAGCCCAUACUGCUCCGGUUUCUUCACACCAUUUCAGUCUCAUCUCCACAUACUUGCUUACAUACACUGACCUUGCCACCCUCCCUAAUUGCAUUUUUCAUCAAUUUUCAUGUUCUUUUAUCCCUUCAUUACUCUGUAGAAUGAAUUCUGCUCAGGGUGUCCUACCAUCAUCACCCGUCCCCAUUGCACAGUUUAGGAGUUACUUGCUUGCUUUUUUCCCGUCUUCCAAAGCAUCCCAUGCUAAUAAAGAAAAUGGGCUUUUGAAUUGGACCAUCAUUUAAACCUUGGACUCCUCUACUCGUGAAGGGGAGAUCUUGUACAAAAUUUAAAGCUCUGUGACACUCUUCUGUUUUAUGUAAAUCGAGUGCACAAUGUACAGAUAAAUUACAUUGCCGUAGAAGGAUUACAUGAAAUACUGUGCUUGAAGCCUUCACCACAGUACCAGCAUUCGUUUGGUAUGUAGUAGCUAUCUCAUUACAGAUCCCUGCAGAAUUUAUUUACAUUGUUUUUGUGAUUUGUUUACCUGACUUCUCCCCAGCUGGACUGAGCUCCCUUAGGGUGGAGAUUUUGUUUUAUUUCUUAGUGUGUAGGGCGUACAUGAAUGUUGAUGCUUGGUAUGUGUUCAGUAAUAUAUGUUAACUGCUUGGUGGCUGUAUAGAGAGGAUGGCUCCAUAAAGGGAGAGACUAACUAGAAAGUAAUAACUUUUUAGUUCCUGAAGUUGUUGAACAUUACAAUCAUUUGAAAUCCU